GGGGCGGUGAGGUCAGCGGCGGCGGCGCGUCCGCGGGCGGCGGGAGCUGCGCAUGCGCGGAGCGACGCCCGUGAGUGGCAGUGGCGGCGCGCGGGGAGCGGGCGGGGGCCGUCGAGGCGGCGGUGUGUGGGCGCAACGGCUGCGAGUUGGAGAGAGAAUGUUGUACCGACGACACAAGACCUCAGACUUGUGUUAUUCUAGCAGCUGAACACACCCCAGGCUCUUCUGACUGGCAGUGGCUCUGGAAGCAGUCUGGUCUAUAGAGUUAUGGAUUCACUACCAGAUUCUACUGUAUGCUCUGACAACUAUGACCACAAUGGGUAUGGUUUCUGUGGAUUCUCUGCUCUUUGUGCUCUCCUCCCCACAUUGGUGGCUCCAUCUGGCACAGGGAAGCUUCUGGAUUCCAGAAGGGAACAACACUACAGUCGCCCGUAGUUUUGUUUCUGUUCAGUCUCCAUCGUGGCAUGCCACACUCUCCUGGUUUGGGCCCUGCUCAUUUCUUUACUGCCUUCCUGCCUGCCCUUUUUGUGCAGGUAGGUCAUCCCAUUCAUGCUCAGCCCUCCUCGCUGUCUACACUGUCUUCUUGGGCAAUCGUAUCCAGUCCCAAGCCUUUUAA
RNAcentral lists this long non-coding RNA (616 nucleotides) under Pan troglodytes (chimpanzee). Its description in RNAcentral is "lncRNA (ENSPTRG00000053388.1)". The record is from RNAcentral. Lineage: Eukaryota; Metazoa; Chordata; Mammalia; Primates; Hominidae.